GGAGGUCCAGCCUGCCCAGUGACUUUGUUCAACGGCCGCGGUAUCCUAACCGUGCGAAGGUAGCGUAAUCACUUGUUCUUUAAAUGAGGACUAGUAUGAAUGGCCCCACGAGGGCUGCACUGUCUCCUUUUUCUAAUCAAUGAAACUAAUCUCCCCGUGAAGAAGCGGGAAUUAUCCUAUAAGACGAGAAGACCCUAUGGAGCUUUAAACAAUUGAAACAUUUGCUUUUCUCCUAACUCCUCCCGAGCUCUUUAUUUUAUUUAAGCAUUAUUAUUUCUAGUUUUAGGUUGGGGUGACCACGGAGCAAAACUAAACCUCCAUGAAGAAAUGAAUAUUUUUAAGCCACAAACUACUUUUUUAAGCAUCAACAAAUUGACCUUCAUUGACCCAAUAUAUUGAUCAACGAACCAAGUUACCCUAGGGAUAACAGCGCAAUCUACUUCAAGAGCUCAUAUCGACAAGUAGGUUUACGACCUCGAUGUUGGAUCAGGGUAUCCUAGUGGUGCAGCCGCUACUAAUGGUUCGUUUGUUCAACGAUUAAAACCCU
This 547-nucleotide ribosomal RNA is filed under the name Ameerega trivittata (three-striped poison frog). RNAcentral's name for it is "partial large subunit ribosomal RNA". It matches the Rfam family "Bacterial large subunit ribosomal RNA", at positions 1848 to 2597 of the family's 2925-position model. The record is from RNAcentral. Lineage: Eukaryota; Metazoa; Chordata; Amphibia; Anura; Dendrobatidae.